This 430-nucleotide ribosomal RNA is filed under the name uncultured delta proteobacterium. RNAcentral's name for it is "bacterial SSU rRNA". It matches the Rfam family "Bacterial small subunit ribosomal RNA", at positions 355 to 776 of the family's 1533-position model. Lineage: Bacteria; Deltaproteobacteria. The record is from RNAcentral.
UCGGGAAUUUUGGGCAAUGGGCGAAAGCCUGACCCAGCAACGCCGCGUGAGGGAUGAAGGCCCUCGGGUCGUAAACCUCUGUCGGGAGGGAAGAACGGUUCACGUUCGAAUAGGACGGGAGCCUGACGGUACCUCCAAAGGAAGCACCGGCUAACUCCGUGCCAGCAGCCGCGGUAAUACGGAGGGUGCAAGCGUUGUUCGGAAUCAUUGGGCGUAAAGCGCGUGUAGGCGGCUUGGCAAGUCAGUUGUGAAAGCCCGGGGCCCAACCCCGGAACUGCAUCUGAAACUGCCUAGCUAGAGUCCCGGAGAGGAAGGCAGAAUUCCCGGUGUAGGGGUGAAAUCCGUAGAUAUCGGGAGGAAUACCAGCGGCGAAGGCGGCCUUCUGGACGGUGACUGACGCUGAGACGCGAAAGCGUGGGGAGCAAACAGG